GAGGAAGUAAAAGUCGUAACAAGGUUUCCGUAGGUGAACCUGCGGAAGGAUCAUUAAUGAAACUUCAAAGUCGGCCAAAGGUUGUUGCUGGUGAUUAUUCACAUGUGCACGCCUUUGGUCGCAAAUCCACACACACCUGUGCAUCUAUGACUCGAGGUUGUAAUGACUGAGAGUAACUUUUAUACACUCUUGUAUGUAAUGGAAUGUCUUUUUGUGCUAUAAUGUACAAUAUAAACAACUUUCAACAACGGAUCUCUUGGCUCUCGCAUCGAUGAAGAACGCAGCGAAAUGCGAUAAGUAAUGUGAAUUGCAGAAUUCAGUGAAUCAUCGAAUCUUUGAACGCACCUUGCACCCUUUGGUAUUCCGAAGGGUACGCCCGUUUGAGUGUCAUUGUAAUCUCACUUCUACAACUUUAUUGUUGUUUGAAUGUGGACUUGGAUGUUGCCGUUUUAUCACGGCUCGUCUUAAAUGCCUGAGUGUACCCUGUUUUGCAGCGUAUCCAGUGUAAUAAACAUUUCACUAGAGUUGGUCGAARGACCGCGUUGACUAUAUGGGCUCUAUGCUUCAAACCGUCUGCCAUGUGGACAAUUUCUUGACAAUUUGACCUCAAAUCGGGUGGGACUACCCGCUGAACUUAAGCAUAUCAAUAAGCGGAGGAAAAGAAACUAACAAGGAUUCCCCUAGUAACGGCGAGUGAAGAGGGAAAAGCUCAAAUUUUAAAUCUGGUGUCUUUGACUCCCGAGUUGUAAUCUAGAGAAGUGUUUUCCGUGUYGGACCGUGUACAAGUUCCCUGGAACGGGGYGUCAUAGAGGGUGAGAAUCCCGUAUAUGCCAYGGACUACCGAUGCUCUGUGAUACACUCUCAACGAGUCGAGUUGUUUGGGAAUGCAGCUCAAAAUGGGUGGUAAAUUCCAUCUAAAGCUAAAUAUUGGCGAGAGACCGAUAGCGAACAAGUACCGUGAGGGAAAGAUGAAAAGCACUUUGGAAAGAGAGUGAAACAGUACGUGAAAUUGUUGAAAGGGAAGCGUUUGAAGUCAGUCGCAUCUGUUGGGGUUCAGCCUGGCUUUUGCCUGGUGUAUUUCCUUUCCGAUGGGUCAGCAUCAGUUUYGACCGAGGGAAAAAGACAUUUGGAAUGUGGCUGUCUUYGGGCAGUGUUAUAGCCUUGUGUUGUAUGUCUCGGUUGGGACUGAGGAUUGCAGCGCGCCAUAAAUGGCCGGGGGUCGCUCCUCUCGACACGCGCUUAGGAUGCUGGCAUAAUGGCUUUAAGCGACCCGUCUUG
RNAcentral lists this ribosomal RNA (1278 nucleotides) under uncultured Sebacina. Its description in RNAcentral is "eukaryotic LSU rRNA". The stretch from base 602 to 1278 matches the Rfam family "Eukaryotic large subunit ribosomal RNA", at positions 1 to 656 of the family's 3401-position model. Lineage: Eukaryota; Fungi; Basidiomycota; Agaricomycetes; Sebacinales; Sebacinaceae. The record is from RNAcentral.